Molecule: ribosomal RNA, 253 nt
Filed under: uncultured bacterium
Lineage: Bacteria
Description: partial 16S ribosomal RNA
Rfam family: Bacterial small subunit ribosomal RNA
Source: RNAcentral
UACAGAGGGUGCGAGCGUUAAUCGGAAUUACUGGGCGUAAAGCGUGCGUAGACGGUCGCGUAAGUCAGAUGUGAAAGCCCCGGGCUCAACCUGGGAACUGCAUUUGAGACUGCUCUGCUCGGGUGCGGAAGAGGGAAGCGGAAUUUCCGGUGUAGCGGUGAAAUGCGUAGAUAUCGGAAGGAACACCAGUGGCGAAAGCGGCUUCCUGGUCCGACACCGACGUUCAGGCACGAAAGCGUGGGGAGCAAACAGG